UACGGGGGGGCAAGCGUUGUUCGGAAUUACUGGGCGUAAAGGGUUCGUAGGUGGCUGGCUAAGUCAGACGUGAAAUCCCUCAGCUCAACUGGGGAACUGCGUCUGAGACUGGUCAGCUUGAGUGCAGGAGAGGAACGCGGAAUUCCAGGUGUAGCGGUGAAAUGCGUAGAUAUCUGGAGGAACACCGGUGGCGAAGGCGGCGUUCUGGACUGCAACUGACACUGAGGAACGAAAGCCAGGGGAGCAAACGGG
Molecule: ribosomal RNA, 252 nt
Filed under: uncultured bacterium
Lineage: Bacteria
Description: partial 16S ribosomal RNA
Rfam family: Bacterial small subunit ribosomal RNA
Source: RNAcentral